Molecule: ribosomal RNA, 253 nt
Filed under: uncultured bacterium
Lineage: Bacteria
Description: partial 16S ribosomal RNA
Rfam family: Bacterial small subunit ribosomal RNA
Source: RNAcentral
GACGUAGGGCGCGAGCGUUGUCCGGAUUUAUUGGGCGUAAAGAGCUCGUAGGCGUCUUGUGCUGUCGUACCGUGGAAACCUGGGACUCAACGUCCGCUUGCGGUCGAUACGGGCAGGCUAGAGUUCGGUAGGGGAGACUGGAAUUCCUGGUGUAGCGGUGAAAUGCGUAGAUAUCGAGAGGAACACCUGCGGCGAAGGCGGGUUGCUGGGCUGAUACUGACGCUGAGGCGCGAAAGCCAGGGGAGCGAACGGG